This 29-nucleotide non-coding RNA is filed under the name Homo sapiens (human). The record is from RNAcentral. Lineage: Eukaryota; Metazoa; Chordata; Mammalia; Primates; Hominidae.
GUGGAUGAUGACCCCGAGGUGCGGAAGAA